CAGUGUGGGAUCCUAUCUGAUAAAGUCAUUUCUCGCACAGUGAGAGGAGCAUUGGAUCAUCAGAGAUUCAUGUUCUGUAGUACCAGGAAGCAUUUGUGAACUCCGAAAGACCAAUCAGGUGCCGAUCCGAUCCGAUACAAUCACACAAGAGUCUUUAUUCACAAGUUCAAACUCGGGCUUAAGUCAUGCUGACACACAGGAUGGUUUCGGUGGAUAAAAGCCCCAAACACUCCUCAGGACAAGAUUUUAUAGGAAAUAUCAAGAGAAGGGUUGUGUCAAAACAUUCUUACCAAAGGAAGCAGUAUACAUGAGAGGAAAAUUUUCUUUAGCUGAAAAUUCUAGAUUAUAGUACAUGUCAGUAAGAAAGGCAAAAUAGCAUGGAAGUUAAAGUAUUGCUCCACAACCUUAGAGCAGAGAAAAUAGAUGGAUGCAUUCUUCAAGUAUUGAACUGACUUUCCUUCUCAAUCAAUCCCAGUUUGUUCAGUCCAAGAGUGCUCCCUAUAUUCAAGAGCUGACAUAGAUGGAUCUUUAGCUCAUGGACUGAAGAGAUAAAUGAGAAAAACAAAGAGUUUCCAUGGAAUAAUCAUCAGAUUUUAUGGUAAUUUCAAAAUGAGAAGUCUACUAGAGAGGCAAACUUGAUCUCUUUCUAAUAAGCUUCACCAGUUCCUGUCACUUCCCAAUAGCAUGAUGCUGAAGACUGGAUUUUACUAUGUAAACGUUUUCAAGACACUGAAGAUUUGAAGUAUUUUUUAAUAUAGCCAACUUUUCUCAUAACAAGUCCUUUAUUUGAAUCAGGUCUGCAUUUGAUUCCAUCUACUGCAGGACUGUACUUCUGAAGCAGUAAGUAGCUCCAAUUACACAUUGUCAUUUAUAAGAUUUGCCUUGGUCAUGGUGUCUGUUCACAGCAGCAAAAGCCUAACUGAGACAGUGGGAUGGUUGUUUCAAUAUGCUUGUCUCAGAGAAUAUCACUACUAAGAGGUGAGGCCAUGCUGAAGUAGAUUUGGCUUUGCUGAAAAAAAUGUGUUACUGUGGGGGUGGGAAUUGAGACCCUUCUCCUGGCUACCAAUAACAAAAGCUUCUCCUGUUUGAAUUCAGGAGAGGAUAUACAUUCUUACCUCUUCAAAUGCUAUGGCUAUCUAGACCUAUGAACCAAUAAGCCAGCCCCAAUUCACAAUUGUUUUUUUUUUAAAGUUGCUUUGGUCAUGCUGUCUCUGUAGAACAAUAGAAACCCUGAGUCAGACUUUGCCAACAGGAGUGAGAUAUUGACAUAAUAGGCCUGACCAUGUGUUUGUUUGGAGGAAUGUGGAUUUGGAAACUUUUGAUUUAGAAAGUGGUGCAAUGCUUUAAGGGUGCCUUUGGCCCAUCCUACAAGAAAUAUGGAAGAAAUUGGUACUGAGGGUGACUUAAAGUGAUGCAAAAGGUUUUAUAGUAGGAAGAUAUCAGUAUGUGGCCUAGAACCUGUUUAAAUGGUAUUUUGGUGAAGAAUCUGGCUGCUUUUGCUAUUAUCUGAAGAGACUGAGGCGGCACAGUCUAGCAUGAAGAGAGUCAGAAAAAUUGCAUGACAACUGAAGUCUAACAAGAGCCCAGCAUAGACUUUGUUCUCUGGUUCACUCUCAUGAAAGUGUUUGAUGAAGUUUACCAAGCUCAUAAAGGAAAAAUACAAAAUAUGAGGGGCAAGACUUAAAGGAGCACUAAGAAGUGAAAUGGAGCUGGAUCCUGUGUGGAAGGAGAUAAGCAGCUUAAGGGAGUGAUGAUCUCA
Long non-coding RNA from Mus musculus (house mouse), 1759 nucleotides. RefSeq annotates it as predicted gene, 32554. Lineage: Eukaryota; Metazoa; Chordata; Mammalia; Rodentia; Muridae. The transcript is spliced from 6 exons. The record is from RefSeq and is a predicted model, not a curated record.